Plutella xylostella (diamondback moth) is the source of this 909-nucleotide long non-coding RNA. RefSeq lists it as uncharacterized. Lineage: Eukaryota; Metazoa; Arthropoda; Insecta; Lepidoptera; Plutellidae. The record is from RefSeq and is a predicted model, not a curated record.
UAUAUGUAUGUAUCUAAUACAAUAGAUAUAUUAAACAUAAUGUAUAAUACUACGUAUAUAAUAUAAUACAAUAUUUACCUACUAAUACAUAGUAAGUUAAAGUCAAAACAUACAGUUUAAACCUUGAAUACAAUGUUUGGAAUUAAAUAUUUCGACAUAGCAUGCCCUUAAGUGAAUAAAAUUGCGGAGCGGCGUAGUGAAAGUCCUCUGUAGGCGGGAGCGGCGUGCCGAAAGUAGCUUGUAGGCGUGGAGCGGCGUAGCGACGGCCCGACGAUAAGCCACUAAGCAUGCUAGUGUUGUAGGAAUAAUGUUUACAGAUUAUACAGAUCAGCACUUUACCCUUAAAAGUAGAUUGCAGAUCCUCGUUAUGGUACCCGUGACGUAGAUUUGUGGGUUAUUUAAGCCAUACAUUUGGAUGGAUCAAUCACAGUCUUCUCUGGAGUCCAGCAGCUUCAAGAAAUCCUAAGAGCUUCAACUAACUCAAGCGCCAACCUCAUUUCAAGUGCAAGUGUAUUGAAGGAAAAUAUCAUUAUGUCAAAGAUCGUGAAAGCUUGUUCCAGCGCCACGGCAGAGCAGUUGUUCCCCUCCGAGGAUGAGCGAGAGGGCAGCGUUGAUCGCAAGACUGAAAAGAAACGUGCUGGGAAGUCUAUGCCUUCACUGAUGGGUGAACCAUCAUGCAAGAAGAGGAUGACUACCACAAUCAACCCCGUGCCUGUAGUUGAAAAAUCAACAGCCAGGGACUUAUUUGGCAGCGACAGCGAUGAUGAAGAGUUCGAGGAAACGAAGAAACCUGGUACGGCGCCGAUUUACAACUAUUUUACCCGACGUUUAGCGAAUGGCCACUCACGACAAACAAAUGACGAUAAAACUGGAUCGCAUUAUAUAGAACUAAAGGUGUACAAAACAUCC